This is a non-coding RNA of Camelina sativa (false flax), 567 nucleotides long. Lineage: Eukaryota; Viridiplantae; Streptophyta; Magnoliopsida; Brassicales; Brassicaceae. The record is from RefSeq and is a predicted model, not a curated record.
AGAUCGUUUUUUUUCUGGAAAAGAAGAACAUAUCCGGAUGGUUUUUUUCUCACCGGCUGUCUUUUUGUCGGUUGGUUUCUUUCCCCUGAAACGAUUAAAGUUCAUACAGUGUCUAAUGAGAUAGAAGUGGGUAUGUUUUAGAUCUCAUAAUCACCGGAUUUAUAAAGUGACGAAGGUUUUAUAUGUCGAUCCUCAUUAACAGAGUUCCUUCUCUUGGUUUCAAUAUUCGUCUAUAGUGUUUUCGACCUGAAUAUAAGUGAUGGAGUAAUGUACAAGUUUUGCCAGAGAAGAUAAGUAGCUACUCAGUCUUUCUUAUAAAUUGAAUCUAAUCAUUCUACUUUAUAUUUGAAAAAACUUACUUUUAAAUAUUUGUUUUGUAGGUUAAAUUCGAAGACAACAUGUUGAUGAAAAGGAAUCAAAUACGGGACUUGUUUCUACACACCACAAGUCUACACACCAAUUCAUACCAGAUAAAGAGGUGACCUGCAAACAUCAUACCAAAACUUUGGUUUUUGUGGCUUACUCUCAAAUUGGUAAAAUCCAGUGCGUAUAUGGGUCACUUUUUUA